GAUGAACGCUAGCGGCAGGCUUAAUACAUGCAAGUCGAGGGGCAACAGGGGUAGCAAUACCUGCUGGCGACCGGCAAACAGGUGCGGAACACGUACAGAACCUUCCUUUAAGCGGGGGAUAGCCCAUAGAAAUGUGGAUUAAUACCCCAUAGUAAUGUUUAAUGGCAUCAUUAGAUAUUUAAAGAUUUAUCACUUAAGAUGGCUGUGCGGCUGAUUAGGUAGUUGGUCGGGGUAACGGCCCACCAAGCCAUCGAUCAGUAACUGGUGUGAGAGCACGACCAGUCACACGGGCACUGAGACACGGGCCCGACUCCUACGGGAGGCAGCAGUAAGGAAUAUUGGUCAAUGGACGCAAGUCUAGAACCCAGCCAUGCCGCGUGAAGGAUGAAGGCCCUCUGGGUUGUAAACUGUCUUUUAUCGUAGGGAACGAAAAGGGUCUUUAUAGCUCACUUGACGGUACCAGAGG
This 466-nucleotide ribosomal RNA is filed under the name uncultured bacterium. Its description in RNAcentral is "bacterial SSU rRNA". It matches the Rfam family "Bacterial small subunit ribosomal RNA", at positions 28 to 484 of the family's 1533-position model. The record is from RNAcentral.